AAUCAACGCUGGCGGCGUGCCUCAGACAUGCAAGUCGAACGAUUAAGACUUCCUUCGGGAAGUGCAUAAAGUGGCGCACGGGUGAGUAACACGUAAGUAAUCUACCCUCGAGUGGGGAAUAACGUUCGGAAACGGACGCUAAUACCGCAUAACGCAGUCGGCACCGCAAGGUGACAGUUGUUAAAGGAGCAAUUCCGCUUGAGGAGGAGCUUGCGGCAGAUUAGGCUAGUUGGUAAGGUAAUGGCUUACCAAGGCUACGAUCUGUAACCGGUCUUAGAGGACGGUCGGUCACACUGACACUGAAUAACGGGUCAGACUCCUACGGGAGGCAGCAGUCGGGAAUUUUGGGCAAUGGGCGAAAGCCUGACCCAGCAACGCCGCGUGAAGGAUGAAGUAUUUCGGUAUGUAAACUUCGAAAGAAUAGGAAGAAUAAAUGACGGUACUAUUUAUAAGGUCCGGCUAACUACGUG
Molecule: ribosomal RNA, 470 nt
Filed under: uncultured bacterium
Lineage: Bacteria
Description: bacterial SSU rRNA
Rfam family: Bacterial small subunit ribosomal RNA
Source: RNAcentral